GGUUAAGCGACUAAGCGUACACGGUGGAUGCCCUGGCAGUCAGAGGCGAUGAAGGACGUGCUAAUCUGCGAUAAGCGUCGGUGAGGUGAUAUGAACCGUUAUAACCGGCGAUUUCCGAAUGGGGAAACCCAGUGUGUUUCGACACACUAUCAUUAACUGAAUCCAUAGGUUAAUGAGGCGAACCGGGGGAACUGAAACAUCUAAGUACCCCGAGGAAAAGAAAUCAACCGAGAUUCCCCCAGUAGCGGCGAGCGAACGGGGAGGAGCCCAGAGCCUGAAUCAGUGUGUGUGUUAGUGGAAGCGUCUGGAAAGGCGUGCGAUACAGGGUGACAGCCCCGUACACAAAAAUGCACAUAUUGUGAGCUCGAUGAGUAGGGCGGGACACGUGGUAUCCUGUCUGAAUAUGGGGG
RNAcentral lists this ribosomal RNA (410 nucleotides) under Escherichia coli. RNAcentral describes it as "partial 23S ribosomal RNA". It matches the Rfam family "Bacterial large subunit ribosomal RNA", at positions 1 to 450 of the family's 2925-position model. The record is from RNAcentral. Lineage: Bacteria; Pseudomonadati; Pseudomonadota; Gammaproteobacteria; Enterobacterales; Enterobacteriaceae.